UAGAGGUGGAUCCAGGAUCAGGUACAGGAUUUUUCUCUUGCUCUAGGGACCAAGCUGUGGUCUCCUCUUCGCUGUAACAUCUCCAGGAGGACCCAGGUGUCUUUGCUGCAGCUUCUCUCACCUUGUGACCUGCAGGUCCUAGGAGAUCUGUAGGACACCUUGGAAACAGAGAAAUGGUCCCUGUUGAAUUAGCCUCGCAGGCCGGGGCAACUGGCACCCAACGUGGGGCAAUUUGGGUCUGGGUUCCGAGAGAGCGUUGCUUCCUAAAGGCUAGCCGCACCUUGGACCGCUGCUUCAAGGGAGGAGCGAGUGAAGAUCCGCACCGUGAUCGCCACAGAGUCACCCUCCUGUGAGACAGAUCCGAUUUGGACCAAACCUCUUCAACCUCGAACGACAAGUCAGUUACCAACCCAUUCACUUGGCGCUUCUUCUUUACAGAAAACUACAAAUCUGAGGGUAAACAAUUCAGCCAACUCCUGGCUACAGCUGACUGCCCAACUGCAGGAUGCCAGUCACCUAUUUAUCUUGACUUUUCAGAUUUUACAGCUGGCACUACCUUCGCGCCAGGCUUAUGUUUUUUAUUUGAUCAAACUCACCCUAACUGUAAAAAUUACUGGUAUGAGCAAAAUGUAGGUUGUCCUUUUACUAUUGUAAAAUGCAUGAGCUCCGUUCCAUUGGACAAAACUAUCUGCUCACCUCAGUCAGUUAUAACUCUCAUCAGUUCUUUCACUCGCCAAACAACAAGAUGUAUACGUGGGUCAUUUGGGACCCGUGGGACUCACCAUGGAAGUCCCCGGUGAAGGGAGCCAUGUAAACGAAUAGAUGCAAUACAUGGCCUAGCAGCAAAUUAUAUGUUUGGCGCUCCCUUGUUCAAGUCCAAACAAUCCUCCAUGCUACUAUUCAAAAGCAAGAAAAGGAAUUAACUGCACAACUUUCUCCCACGUCUUCACAAAAUCCCUUUUCUUGGCUCUCCCUUCUCAGAGAAGGCCUUUUAAUUGCCAAUAUUACCGGCCUUGGCAAUGUUUCUGCAUGCUUUCUUUGUGCUGCCUUAGGGUGCCCCCUGUAAUAGCAGUCCCCUAUCCCUCCUCACUUAAUCAUACCCUUACAACCGAUAACCCUUUUAAGCCUAUUUUUGGUGUUUCCCUGUUCCUGACCCCUGAGCGAGAGCAAUUUGAUUUUUGUUAUUCUAAUGCUACUUUUCA
Nycticebus coucang (slow loris) is the source of this 1202-nucleotide long non-coding RNA. RefSeq lists it as uncharacterized. The transcript is spliced from 3 exons. The record is from RefSeq and is a predicted model, not a curated record. NCBI's taxonomy places the organism in Eukaryota, Metazoa, Chordata, Mammalia, Primates, Lorisidae.